Molecule: ribosomal RNA, 497 nt
Filed under: uncultured bacterium
Lineage: Bacteria
Description: partial 16S ribosomal RNA
Rfam family: Bacterial small subunit ribosomal RNA
Source: RNAcentral
GACGAACGCUGGCGGCGUGCCUAAUACAUGCAAGUUGAGCGCUGAAGGUUGGUACUUGUACCAACUGGAUGAGCAGCGAACGGGUGAGUAACGCGUGGGGAAUCUGCCUUUGAGCGGGGGACAACAUUUGGAAACGAAUGCUAAUACCGCAUAAAAACUUUAAACACAAGGUUUAAGUUUGAAAGAUGCAAUUGCAUCACUCAAAGAUUAUCCCGCGUUGUAUUAGCUAGUUGGUGAGGUAAAGGCUCACCAAGGCGAUGAUACAUAGCCGAACUGAGAGGGUGAUCGGACACAUUGGGACUGAGACACGGCCCAAACUCCUACGGGAGGCAGCAGUAGGGAAUCUUCGGCAAUGGACGAAAGUCUGACCGAGCAACGCCGCGUGAGUGAAGAAGGUUUUCGGAUCGUAAAACUCUGUUGGUAGAGAAGAACGUUGGUGAGAGUGGAAAGCUCAUCAAGUGACGGUAACUACCCAGAAAGGGACGGCUAACUACGUG